This 30-nucleotide non-coding RNA is filed under the name Rattus norvegicus (Norway rat). The record is from RNAcentral. Lineage: Eukaryota; Metazoa; Chordata; Mammalia; Rodentia; Muridae.
UGGCAGUUUCUGUGAAUUGGAUGUCUCUUC